Molecule: transfer RNA, 89 nt
Filed under: Sideroxyarcus sp.
Lineage: Bacteria; Pseudomonadati; Pseudomonadota; Betaproteobacteria; Nitrosomonadales; Gallionellaceae
Description: tRNA-Leu
Rfam family: tRNA
About the family: Transfer RNA (tRNA) molecules are approximately 80 nucleotides in length. Their secondary structure includes four short double-helical elements and three loops (D, anti-codon, and T loops).
Source: RNAcentral
GCCCGGGUGGUGAAAUUGGUAGACACAACGGACUUAAAAUCCGUCGAAAGGCGACUUUCGUACCGGUUCGAUUCCGGUUCUGGGCACCA